UUUUUAGUAUAAGUAUAUCCCAGACAAUAUUUGGGAUAUACUUGUACUAAAA
RNAcentral lists this microRNA precursor (52 nucleotides) under Callithrix jacchus (white-tufted-ear marmoset). RNAcentral's name for it is "mir-1302 microRNA precursor family". It matches the Rfam family "mir-1302 microRNA precursor family". The record is from Rfam by way of RNAcentral. Lineage: Eukaryota; Metazoa; Chordata; Mammalia; Primates; Cebidae. RNAcentral also lists the same sequence under 1 other name.